Molecule: long non-coding RNA, 615 nt
Organism: Actinia tenebrosa (Australian red waratah sea anemone)
Lineage: Eukaryota; Metazoa; Cnidaria; Anthozoa; Actiniaria; Actiniidae
Source: RefSeq, a predicted model, not a curated record
AAACAGUUUCAGCUAUAAAUACGUCUGAUUUUCUAAUCCGAAUCUCAGAGUGUUCAGUGGGAAAGUGGAUCAUUAGACGCUGACACUACAUUAUACCAGGAAAAAAGUAUGGUAGCUCUUCAUCAAGUACUUGUUGUUGGCAGCAAUUUGUUUACUACCAGAGUCAACCAUCUCAUGUCGCCAGUACAGAAAGGGUGGAGGCCGUAGCGUGUUCUGUCCAUGUGCAGGCGACAUGACUUGUGAAGCAGGCCAUCACGUUUGUAGAAAGCCAGGAGGAUUGGGAGAUCCAUGUCAUGCUACAAGGCCUUGUGGUUCUGGACUACAAUGUGAGGCAGGUCGUCAAAUUUGCAGAAAGUAUGGCGGGGACGGAGCUCAAUGUCAUGCAACACUGGAGUGUAAAAACGGAUAUGGUUGCUUGGCAUUGUUCCAUGUGUGCCGAAAAAGUACCCAAAGCCAUGGCGAGCUAUGUAAUAUGUUUAACAAGUUCUGCAAAGAUGGCUUAUACUGCGCUCACACUCAUAGAUGUGCCGGCUAGAUAAAGCGGCUAAAGUAACCAUGCUGCUCAGAACCUUCCACUAAGAUGAACAAACUACUUCAUAUACUGUAAGAUAGAUA